This 405-nucleotide ribosomal RNA is filed under the name uncultured bacterium. RNAcentral describes it as "bacterial SSU rRNA". It matches the Rfam family "Bacterial small subunit ribosomal RNA", at positions 976 to 1381 of the family's 1533-position model. The record is from RNAcentral.
UAGCCUUGACAUAUAUUAGAAUCCGACAGAGAUGUUGGAGUGCCUUCGGGAGCUUUUAUACAGGUGCUGCACGGCUGUCGUCAGCUCGUGUCGUGAGAUGUUGGGUUAAGUCCCGCAACGAGCGCAACCCUCGUCACUAGUUACUAACGGUUCGGCCGAGGACUCUAGUGAGACUGCCUUCGUAAGGAGGAGGAAGGUGAGGACGACGUCAAGUCAUCAUGGCCCUUACGGCUAGGGCUACACACGUGCUACAAUGGGGGGUACAAAGAGCAGCCAACUGGCGACAGUGCGCGAAUCUCAUAAAACCUCUCGUAGUCCGGAUCGGAGUCUGCAACUCGACUCCGUGAAGUCGGAAUCGCUAGUAAUCGUGAAUCAGAAUGUCACGGUGAAUACGUUCCCGGGCCU